RNAcentral lists this ribosomal RNA (253 nucleotides) under uncultured bacterium. RNAcentral's name for it is "partial 16S ribosomal RNA". It matches the Rfam family "Bacterial small subunit ribosomal RNA", at positions 524 to 776 of the family's 1533-position model. The record is from RNAcentral.
UACGUAGGGAGCAAGCGUUGUCCGGAAUCAUUGGGCGUAAAGCGCGCGUAGGUGGCCUCAUAAGUCCGCUGUGAAAGUCCAAGGCUCAACCUUGGAAAGCCGGUGGAUACUGUGAGGCUAGAGUACGGAAGAGGCGAGUGGAAUUCCUGGUGUAGCGGUGGAAUGCGCAGAUAUCAGGAGGAACACCAAUAGCGAAGGCAGCUCGCUGGGACGUUACUGACACUAAGGCGCGAAAGCGUGGGGAGCAAACAGG